Molecule: ribosomal RNA, 726 nt
Filed under: Zobellia sp. CUA-659
Lineage: Bacteria; Pseudomonadati; Bacteroidota; Flavobacteriia; Flavobacteriales; Flavobacteriaceae
Description: bacterial SSU rRNA
Rfam family: Bacterial small subunit ribosomal RNA
Source: RNAcentral
UCGAGGGGUAACAUGGAGGAGCUUGCUCCUUCGAUGACGACCGGCGCACGGGUGCGCAACGCGUAUACAAUCUGCCCCCUACUGUGGGAUAGCCCAGAGAAAUUUGGAUUAACACCACAUGGUACCAUAUUGCGGCAUCGUAUUUAUGGUUAAAGGUUACGGUAGGGGAUGAGUAUGCGUCCCAUUAGUUAGUUGGCGGGGUAACGGCUCACCAAGACCGCGAUGGGUAGGGGCCCUGAGAGGGGGAUCCCCCACACUGGUACUGAGACACGGACCAGACUCCUACGGGAGGCAGCAGUGAGGAAUAUUGGACAAUGGGCGGGAGCCUGAUCCAGCCAUGCCGCGUGCAGGAAGAAUGCCCUAUGGGUAGUAAACUGCUUUUAUACGGGAAGAAAAAGGGCUACGUGUAGCCCACUGACGGUACCGUAAGAAUAAGGACCGGCUAACUCCGUGCCAGCAGCCGCGGUAAUACGGAGGGUCCGAGCGUUAUCCGGAAUUAUUGGGUUUAAAGGGUCCGUAGGCGGGCAGCUAAGUCAGUGGUGAAAGUUUGCAGCUCAACUGUAAAAUUGCCUUUGAUACUGGUUGUCUUGAGUUAUAGUGAAGUUGCCGGAAUAUGUAGUGUAGCGGUGAAAUGCAUAGAUAUUACAUAGAACACCGAUUGCGAAGGCAGGUGACUAACUAUAUACUGACGCUGAUGGACGAAAGCGUGGGGAGCGAACAGGAUUA